UACGAAGGGGGCUAGCGUUGUUCGGAUUUACUGGGCGUAAAGCGCGUGUAGGCGGGUCGUUAAGUUGGGGGUGAAAUCCCGGAGCUCAACUCCGGAACUGCCUCCAAAACUGGCGACCUGGAGCAAGAUAGAGGCGAGUGGAAUUCCGAGUGUAGAGGUGAAAUUCGUAGAUAUUCGGAGGAACACCAGUGGCGAAGGCGACUCGCUGGAUCUUUGCUGACGCUGAGACGCGAAAGCGUGGGGAGCAAACAGG
Molecule: ribosomal RNA, 253 nt
Filed under: uncultured bacterium
Lineage: Bacteria
Description: partial 16S ribosomal RNA
Rfam family: Bacterial small subunit ribosomal RNA
Source: RNAcentral